Molecule: long non-coding RNA, 1152 nt
Filed under: Salmo salar (Atlantic salmon)
Lineage: Eukaryota; Metazoa; Chordata; Actinopteri; Salmoniformes; Salmonidae
Description: lncRNA (ENSSSAG00000106702.1)
Source: RNAcentral
CUUUGACAAUCGUCAUCAGAUGAUACUCCUAGGAUAUUAUGUUAGACAAUACAUGCAUUUUUUGUUCUAUCAAGUUCAUAUUUAUAUCCAAAAACAGCAUUUUACAUUGGCGCGUGACGUUCAGAAAAUGUAUUUCCCCCAAAACCUACGGUGAAUCAGCACAACAAUUUACAAGAAUACUCAUUAUAAACGUUGAUAAAAUAUUAAACUGUUAUUCAAAGAAUUAUAGAUUAACAUCUCCUGAAUGCAACCGCAUUGACAGAUUUCAAAAUAACUUUACUGGGAAUGCACACUUUGCAAUAAUCUGAGUACUGCGCUACCGGGUUCUGCCUUUCGGGCUUCAUGGGGCACCAGCGACCUUUCAGCGACUCAUGGAUCGAGUCCUGCGGUCGCACAGUGAGUACGCAGCGGCGUAUCUGAAUGACAUAAUUGUGCACAGUGACAAUUGGGAGUCACAUCUGCGUAAGUUACAGGCCGUGAUUGAUGCGCUAAGGGAUGCAGGUCUGACCGCGAACCCCCACAAGUGCAAGCUGGGCUACACCGGAGUGGAGUACCUGGGAUAUCAGAUCGGGUGGGGAAAUGUGAAAUCCCCCCCCAAAAAUCGCUGCCAUUAGGGGAUGGCCGGUCCCCCGAACUAAGAGCUUCUCCCCUCACAGAUCUAUCAAAGGCACGACUACCCCAGACGGUGCAAUGGACGGAGGACACAGAGGAGGCGUUCCAGGCCCUGAAGGAUGUGCUAUGUUCGCACCCGGUACUCGUCACCCCGGACUUCUCAAAGAACCUCCUCGUCCAGACAGACGCGUCUGACACCGGGGUCAGGGGCCCAGCACGGAAAUGCGGACGCCCUAUCCAGGAGGGAUGCAAACCUAGCCCUGAGCAUGCCUCCCUCCCAGUUAGAGCUAAGGGGCUGUGUGUGUGGAAUCCCAGGAGGUCUACCCCGGGGGAUGGUAAUAGAGGGGAGGUACGUGAGACGACGUUGGCUCCCUCUGCUGGGGAUACGGGAGCUGGGCACCCCGACACGGACAUCUAUAAGUGGAGGUAAUUAGAGGAAAGUGCCAACCAGCCGUGGAGGCUAAAUAAAAGGAGCUCGAUGGCACACCGUGAGAGAGAAGGGGGAGAGACGGACACCAGUUAAGAGAGAGAAGAAAGACC